UGGUGACUGACCUGCAAUGACCUGAUC
RNAcentral lists this non-coding RNA (27 nucleotides) under Homo sapiens (human). The record is from RNAcentral. Lineage: Eukaryota; Metazoa; Chordata; Mammalia; Primates; Hominidae.